AUUUAAAUAGUUUAAUUAAAACAUUGAUUUGUGGAAUCAAGGAUAUUAUAUUUAUAAUUUUAAGUA
RNAcentral lists this transfer RNA (66 nucleotides) under Hippodamia undecimnotata. Its description in RNAcentral is "tRNA-His". Lineage: Eukaryota; Metazoa; Arthropoda; Insecta; Coleoptera; Coccinellidae. The record is from RNAcentral.